This is a long non-coding RNA of Aedes aegypti (yellow fever mosquito), 1523 nucleotides long. RefSeq lists it as uncharacterized. NCBI's taxonomy places the organism in Eukaryota, Metazoa, Arthropoda, Insecta, Diptera, Culicidae. The transcript is spliced from 2 exons. The record is from RefSeq and is a predicted model, not a curated record.
UCUGUCAAAAAUAAGUCUACUCCAGAGGAGACUUAUUUUUGACAGAUCGUGAAUCAUUUGCAUCUAGUGGAACAUCGCUAGAUUGUUAUCAUCAAGUUAAUCUGAUUGGCAUUACAUACGGGCAUUACGUUUUGAGGACUGAAUUUCUUUAUUUAAAAUGGAACCACAACAUAAGAAAAUGAGCCGAAAAGCAUUGCAGUGCAGACGAUAGGUUUAGCAGGCGGCAUUUGCUCGGACUUCAUUAUGAAAUCUGUCGCUGAAACCUCACGUUAUCGGCCGAGAUGAUCCCGCAGAGCAUUUUUCAACUUUUCGAGUGAGCGAUGGUUGCAGACGAGAGUGGUUUGAAGAGGAAACUGCAUGAGGCCGAGUUUCCCGAGGAGUUGCUUCAAACAGAAAUCUCGAAAAGCACUAUUACCACACCACCAAAUGAAGAAAAGUGCAGUUUCGGUCGAGUCAGGAGCAAACAAUCGCGCAUAAACCAUGCUCAGUACGUUGUGGGUGGAUCUACUUUGUUUGAGACAGAUAUUCCACAGAUAGUGCGAAUUCCAACGUUCAGGAAAAUAUGUAGGGGAUCAUCGAAAGCUCUUCUCGCUAUAAAGAAGUCUGCUUUCUCUUUAAAAGAAAAUGAACAGAAAAGAAUGGCCAAUAGGGAAAUCAUUUCCAUUCGUAAAACCAAAUUUACCAACGUUGAAACGUAAAACGAAAGCAGUGGGUUCUGGCGUUACGGUUUAACGGUGACAUAGCUUGUUUCUCAACUCAUUAUUCUAUGGGAACAUCUUCAACUAUUAACUAAGAACUGUAUUUGCCAAUUGAUCAUUGUAUCAUUAUGUCGAAUGCCAAUCACAGGACUGGUAGCAAGUCUCUUUUAAGAGACUGAAUAUUUUAAUACGAGUUUCCGUAAAGUUUCUAUUAUCAAUCGCAGAUCGUCAAAAUUUCUUUUCAAUCAAAAUAGUCUCUAAAGUCAUAUGCUUCUUGUUUCCCCUUGCAUUGAAUCUUGGUGCAUGAUUCUAGAGACUCCAGAAUCCUUCAGAAGCUCUUACGUGCCUAUACCACAGUUUCACCAGGAAUUCAUUAUCAGGUUUCUCAAGAAAAAGCUUUGGGAACUAUUCUUGCGAUUUCUCCAAUGAUUUCUUCUGAAAUAAUUUCGUAAACUUUUAAGUGCAUCCCUCGAAACACUACAAUAUAGAUUCCUCGUCAAUUCUCCCAGGAAUUUUGCCAGAGUUUUUUUUUUUUUUUUCAAAGUAUGCUUAGAGAAAGUGUUCUCCAGUAAUUUCCACAGGGGCCAUUCUGAAAAUUUUCCUGGUAUUUCCCAAUUGUCUCCAGCACACUCCAGGAUUUCUCCUGGAUAUGUUUCCAUUAGAAAUUUGUUUAAGCAAUUUUCCAAAGAAAUUCUACAAUUCUUCCAGGAGGUACUACCCAGCUUUGGGCAGUUAUUCUCCCUGGAAUCGGCCCAAAAGUUCCUCCAGGGAUCAUUUCAGAAAACCUAUUAAGAACUCUGCUAGUGAAUCUAGCGGCAUAUUUUU